CAGUCGCCGCGGUAAUACGUAGGGUGCAAGCGUUAAUCGGAAUUACUGGGCGUAAAGCGUUCGCAGGCGGUUAUAUAAGACAGAUGUGAAAUCCCCGGGCUCAACCUGGGAACUGCAUUUGUGACUGUAUAGCUAGAGUACGGCAGAGGGGGAUGGAAUUCCGCGUGUAGCAGUGAAAUGCGUAGAUAUGCGGAGGAACACCGAUGGCGAAGGCAAUCCCCUGGGCCUGUACUGACGCUCAUGCACGAAAGCGUGGGGAGCAAACAGGAUUAGAUACCCGCGUAGUCCCUGUCUCUUAUAC
Molecule: ribosomal RNA, 301 nt
Filed under: uncultured bacterium
Lineage: Bacteria
Description: partial 16S ribosomal RNA
Rfam family: Bacterial small subunit ribosomal RNA
Source: RNAcentral